CAUAACGCUAUUGUACCGGUAUAUCAUCCAAUUCAUUGACCAGAUGGAUAUAAGAACAUUCUUUAGGAGAGGUGGCAGCUCCGCCCAGUCAGAUGAGAGAGAGAAGCAGGAGAUUGACAGGGCUGAAGGAGCCGGUGUGAUGGAGGGUCAUGCAGAAGGAGAGGCUGAGGCAGAGAGUCAGAGAGAGGAAGAGACAGACCAAGCAGCUGCAGCAACUAAUGAGUUAGGUGAAAAAGACACAGGGCCCAGACAGGUUAAGCUGAAGGGCUACCCACAGGACAGCUUUGGUGCUCAGAACAGUUUUGUAAAAUAUGGCGACUGGAUACGAGAUCCUGAACCUGAACAAGAAGAGGCUCCCAAACAAGUUCGAGAAUUUAGGGUACAACAGGACGUUUCUGAAUGGCGUAUUUGUGCCAAGUGUGAGCAAAUGCCUACAGAGCCUGAGAAUGGAUGCUGCAGGGAGAUGCCACAGGUAACAAGAAGACUACUGCAGCUUCCAAACCAAACAACGUGCAUCAUCCGGGACUUUUAGCUGUGUGAUUGAAUGUGUUCUCACUACAGAAUGCAUUCAACAUCUAUAGAGCAGACUAUGGGCCUUAUGUCUAAGGGGAAUAUAGCAACGUUACAGGUAUUUGGUGUACAGAAGCUUUGUUAGCUGGUCUUGGGGCUUUCUGG
Long non-coding RNA from Clupea harengus (Atlantic herring), 675 nucleotides. The record is from Ensembl. NCBI's taxonomy places the organism in Eukaryota, Metazoa, Chordata, Actinopteri, Clupeiformes, Clupeidae.